This 89-nucleotide unclassified non-coding RNA is filed under the name Pseudomonas gessardii. Lineage: Bacteria; Pseudomonadati; Pseudomonadota; Gammaproteobacteria; Pseudomonadales; Pseudomonadaceae. The record is from RNAcentral.
UGUAGGAGCUGGCUUGCCUGCGAUAGCGGGCUGUCAGUUACUCCACCAGUGCCUGACAGGUCGCGAUCGCAGGCAAGCCAGCUCCCACA